AUGGCCUCCACCAACAGCUGGACCCAGGAGAUCGAGUCGGCGGUCACCGCGCCGCGCCUCUUCCGCGCCGGCGUCAUGGACUGGCACACCCUGGCCCCCAAGCUCGCGCCGCAGAUCGUCGCUAGGGCCCACCCCGUUGAGGGACAAGGCGGCAUUGGCAGCGUCAGAAUUGACCUUGCAGCCAUGCCCUUCAACCUCAUGAAGGAGAGGCUCGAGUUCAUUGACGCAGAUAAGUGCGAGUGCAAGUCGACUCUUAUCGAGGGCGGUGGCAUCGGCACGACGAUUGAGACAGCCACUUCACACAUCAAGGUGGAGCCGGCAGCAAAGAUGCGCAUUAGCUACUUUGGGCUCUUUUGGACGAAACUAGCCCCGGCAGCAGCACACCCACACAUGCAACGUUCGCCUGUAUCCCCUUCCUCCAGGACAAACGGAUUGGACUGGUGGCAGCGGGAAUCGACCUGCGGCGGCAGAGGAGGGGGAGCAGCAGGAAGCCGGUGUCUCCGCGUCCUCUGCCUGCUCCGGCAUCUUCGCGUCCGCUGCUGGUGGCCGGCCUCUCCGGCAUCACCGUGUCCGCAUCCGGCGUCUCCGGCAUAUCCGUCUCAGCCGCCGGCAUCUUCGCGUCCAUGGCUGGCCUCCGGCGUUGUUGCGUCGGCUAUUGGCGUCCCCGCGUCCGCCGCAUCCCUGGCAAACAUCUCCGCUGCCAGCCACACCAAGUGGACUAAUCUGGAGGCCACGGCCACCUCCCGUGAGGCGGAGAAGAAGAGGGAGCAGCAGGAGCUCAAGGUGUGGACGGCGUCGACGGCGUCCUCUCCGGUCGCGCGCGGAGGAAGGGACAAGGGCAGCGGCUGCCAGGACGUCUUCGUGAUGUACAACGGCCACGGCGAGCCGUGGGUGGUGGCGUGCGAGGAGCCGAUGCAUGUGGUGCUCACGGAGGAGAUGGGUAGGCGUGCGCCGGCGGACAGAUGGCGAGAGUGGAUGCCGGGAGUACCGGGGAGCUCGUCCUACAACACAACUUUCCGGGCAGCAAAUGGCGGGAGCGUGGUGAAGGUGGAAUCGACAUACAAGCUGCUUCCAGGCGUGGAGGUGAAUGAUGAGAUUACCAAGGUCAAGGAUUCUAUCACGGCCAUCUUCAAGGCCGCCGAGGCCUACCUUAUCGCCAACCCAGACGCCUACAACUAA
This 1179-nucleotide ribosomal RNA is filed under the name Triticum aestivum (bread wheat). RNAcentral's name for it is "partial small subunit ribosomal RNA". The record is from RNAcentral. Lineage: Eukaryota; Viridiplantae; Streptophyta; Magnoliopsida; Poales; Poaceae.